RNAcentral lists this transfer RNA (89 nucleotides) under Mammaliicoccus sciuri. RNAcentral's name for it is "Staphylococcus sciuri tRNA-Ser". It matches the Rfam family "tRNA". Rfam says of the family: Transfer RNA (tRNA) molecules are approximately 80 nucleotides in length. Their secondary structure includes four short double-helical elements and three loops (D, anti-codon, and T loops). Lineage: Bacteria; Bacillati; Bacillota; Bacilli; Caryophanales; Staphylococcaceae. The record is from RNAcentral.
GGAGAGUUGUCCGAGUUGGCCGAAGGAGCACGCCUGGAAAGUGUGUAGGCGUCACAAACGUCUCGAGGGUUCGAAUCCCUCACUCUCCG